RNAcentral lists this ribosomal RNA (468 nucleotides) under uncultured bacterium. Its description in RNAcentral is "partial 16S ribosomal RNA". It matches the Rfam family "Bacterial small subunit ribosomal RNA", at positions 28 to 507 of the family's 1533-position model. The record is from RNAcentral.
GACGAACGCUGGCGGCGUGCUUAACACAUGCAAGUCGAACGGAAAGGCCCUGCUUUUGUGGGGUGCUCGAGUGGCGAACGGGUGAGUAACACGUGAGUAACCUGCCCUUGACUUUGGGAUAACGUCAGGAAACUGGGGCUAAUACCGGAUAGGAGCUCCUGCUGCAUGGUGGGGGUUGGAAAGUUUCGGCGGUUGGGGAUGGACUCGCGGCGUAUCAGCUUGUUGGUGGGGUAGUGGCAUACCAAGGCUUUGACGGGUAGCCGGCCUGAGAGGGUGAACGGCCACAUUGGGACUGAGAUACGGCCCAGACUCCUACGGGAGGCAGCAGUGGGGAAUAUUGCACAAUGGGCGGAAGCCUGAUGCAGCAACGCCGCGUGCGGGAUGACGGCCUUCGGGUUGUAAACCGCUUUCGCCUGUGACGAAGCGUGAGUGACGGUAAUGGGUAAAGAAGCACCGGCUAACUACGUG